This 567-nucleotide ribosomal RNA is filed under the name uncultured bacterium. RNAcentral describes it as "bacterial SSU rRNA". It matches the Rfam family "Bacterial small subunit ribosomal RNA", at positions 338 to 916 of the family's 1533-position model. The record is from RNAcentral.
CCUACGGGAGGCAGCAGCAAGGAAUUUUCGGCAAUGGGCGCAAGCCUGACCGAGCAACGCCGCGUGGAGGACGACGGCCUUCGGGUUGUAAACUCCUUUUGCGGGGGAUGAUCGUGACCGUACCCCGCGAAUAAGGCUCGGCUAACUCUGUGCCAGCAGCCGCGGUAAGACAGAGGAGCCAAGCGUUGCCCGGAUUGACUGGGCGUAAAGCGCACGCAGGCGGUCGUGCACGUGGGGUGUGAAACCUGGCCGCUUAACGGCCAGACGCCACCGCAUACGGCGCGACUUGAGAGUGGCAGAGGUUCGUGGAAUUGCCGGUGWAGUGGUGAAAUGCGUAGAGAUCGGCAGGAACACCAAGGGCGAAAGCAGCGAACUGGGCCAUAUCUGACGCUCAGGUGCGAAAGCGUGGGGAGCGAACCGGAUUAGAUACCCGGGUAGUCCACGCCGUAAACGAUGAAUACUCGGCAUCUGGUGGCCGAUUUUCGGCGGCCGGGUGCCCCAGCUAACGCGGUAAGUAUUCCGCCUGGGAACUACGAGCGCAAGCUUAAAACUCAAAUGAAUUGACGG